GUGACUAUUCUCCUAUUAAUUUAGCCAUGUUCGUUUGUACAUCUGAAAGAUGCAUCCAGAUAGUCCAUCUAGAUGUCUUAUCCAGAUGCUUCAUCUGGGUGUUGUUCGUUUCUUCAUUUCGUCCAUGCAUCCAGAUGAAUCAUCUGAAUGCAACUAUGUUCGUUUGCUUUUUAUUUUUUAACUGCCAUCUGCAUCCAGGUGGACUUGUUAAUAAAAUGACUAAAAUAUAAUUUUU
Long non-coding RNA from Brassica rapa (field mustard), 235 nucleotides. RefSeq lists it as uncharacterized. The record is from RefSeq and is a predicted model, not a curated record. Lineage: Eukaryota; Viridiplantae; Streptophyta; Magnoliopsida; Brassicales; Brassicaceae.